UACGUAGGGGGCGAGCGUUGUCCGGAAUUAUUGGGCGUAAAGAGCUCGUAGGCGGUCUGUCGCGUCGGAUGUGAAAAUCCAGGGCUCAACCCUGGACCUGCAUUCGAUACGGGCAGACUAGAGUUCGGCAGGGGAGACUGGAAUUCCUGGUGUAGCGGUGAAAUGCGCAGAUAUCAGGAGGAACACCAACAGCGAAGGCAGAUCUCUGGGACGUUACUGACGCUGAGACGCGAAAGCGUGGGGAGCAAACAGG
Molecule: ribosomal RNA, 253 nt
Filed under: uncultured bacterium
Lineage: Bacteria
Description: partial 16S ribosomal RNA
Rfam family: Bacterial small subunit ribosomal RNA
Source: RNAcentral